CCUACGGGAGGCAGCAGUGAGGAAUAUUGGUCAAUGGGCGUAAGCCUGAACCAGCCAAGUCGCGUGAGGGAUGAAGGCCCUACGGGUUGUAAACUUCUUUUAUAAAGGAAUAAAGUGAGGCACGUGUGCUUUUUUGUAUGUACCUUAUGAAUAAGGAUCGGCUAACUCCGUGCCAGCAGCCGCGGUAAUACGGAGGAUCCGAGCGUUAUCCGGAUUUCUUGGGUUUAAAGGGUGCGUAGGUGGGUUGUUAAGUCAGUGGUGAAAGUUUGCGGCUCAACCGUAAAAUUGCAGUUGAUACUGGGAGGCUUGAGUAUAGUUGAGGCAGGCGGAAUGCGUGGUGUAGCGGUGAAAUGCUUAGAUAUCACGCAGAACCCCGAUUGCGAAGGCAGCUUACCAAGCCGUGACUGACACUGAUGCACGAAAGCGUGGGGAUCAAACAGGAUUAGAUAGCCCUGUAGUC
Molecule: ribosomal RNA, 460 nt
Filed under: uncultured bacterium
Lineage: Bacteria
Description: partial 16S ribosomal RNA
Rfam family: Bacterial small subunit ribosomal RNA
Source: RNAcentral